RNAcentral lists this long non-coding RNA (527 nucleotides) under Mustela putorius furo (domestic ferret). Its description in RNAcentral is "lncRNA (ENSMPUG00000025945.1)". The record is from RNAcentral. Lineage: Eukaryota; Metazoa; Chordata; Mammalia; Carnivora; Mustelidae.
AGCGAUUCUAACUCCUCCUACUACUCACCUCACCCCAGCCUCACAGACUAACCUUUAUAGAGGUAGUUGAGCCCCGCGUACACACAGGUGGCCAAUGAGAUUUCAACUCCAAGCAGCAAAAAUAUGUGCACCCCACUGAUUGGAUGUCUCCAUCCAGCCUGGCCCGCCCCUAUAUCCGGGGUUUGUAAGAGCAGAUUCUCCAACUGUGGGGAUCCAGGAGCCAUCACUGUCAGUAUCUCCAGGAGGGACAGAACUUACACUGAAGUUUUUCAUCAACCUACAUGACAGCCUUCCCACAAGGAUAACUUCAGGCCCAAAGGCUACACUAGAGAGUUCUAUCAAGUAUUUAAGGAAAAAAAUGGUGAGAAUACUACAGAGAACCAAGGAAGAAUGAACAACCUGGAAUAUGCAUUAUAAAGUCUGUUUUCCUGUUUUAUUAUAACCAGACAAAAUUCCCAAAAUAAAGGAAAUUAAAAAUCUAUGUUUCAUAAACAUAGGAACCAAAAUAUAACAAAAUAUUUGCAAAU